RNAcentral lists this unclassified non-coding RNA (219 nucleotides) under Hevea brasiliensis (rubber tree). Lineage: Eukaryota; Viridiplantae; Streptophyta; Magnoliopsida; Malpighiales; Euphorbiaceae. The record is from RNAcentral.
GAGGUGGUGGUGGUGGAAGGGUUUUACUAUCUCAAAGGCCCAUAUCAUCGAUCCAGCCAACAAUGUCCCACACUGAGCCAACCUGGCUUGUCAACUCUAAACACUUAACUAGGUCUAGUUCAUUUGCAGACCUAAGCUUCAAACCAAUAGCAGGCCUAGUACUAGUAGCGAUGAUCACAAUUACAGGACCAUGACAAGUUAAUCACUACCAACUGUUAA